CUACGGGUUGCACCAGUGGGGAAUAUUGCACAAUGGAGGAAACUCUGAUGCAGCAACGCCGCGUGGAGGAUGACACUUUUCGGAGCGUAAACUCCUUUUAUAUAGGAAGAAGAUGACGGUACUAUAUGAAUAAGCGCCGGCUAGACUCCGUGCCAGCAGCCGCGGUAAUACGGAGGGCGCAAGCGUUACUCGGAAUCACUGGGCGUAAAGAGCGUGUAGGCGGAUUAAAAAGUCAGAAGUGAAAUCCUAUAGCUUAACUAUAGAACUGCUUCUGAAACUCUUAAUCUAGAAUAUGGGAGAGGUAGAUGGAAUUUCUGGUGUAGGGGUAAAAUCCGUAGAGAUCAGAAGGAAUACCGAUUGCGAAGGCGAUCUACUAGAACAUUAUUGACGCUGAGACGCGAAAGCGUGGGGAGCAAACAGGAUUAGAUACCCGCGUAGUC
Molecule: ribosomal RNA, 440 nt
Filed under: uncultured bacterium
Lineage: Bacteria
Description: partial 16S ribosomal RNA
Rfam family: Bacterial small subunit ribosomal RNA
Source: RNAcentral